GGACCAUUCCACGGUUUCCGCGCCGCAGCUAACGCAUUAAGUGCCCCGCCUGGGGAGUACGGCCGCAAGGCUAAAACUCAAAGGAAUUGACGGGGGCCCGCACAAGCGGCGGAGCAUGCGGAUUAAUUCGAUGCAACGCGAAGAACCUUACCAAGGCUUGACAUGUUCUCGAUCGCCGUAGAGAUACGGUUUCCCCUUUGGGGCGGGUUCACAGGUGGUGCAUGGUUGUCGUCAGCUCGUGUCGUGAGAUGUUGGGUUAAGUCCCGCAACGAGCGCAACCCUCGUUCCAUGUUGCCAGCACGUCGUGGUGGGGACUCAUGGGAGACUGCCGGGGUCAACUCGGAGGAAGGUGAGGACGACGUCAAAUCAUCAUGCCCCUUAUGUCUUGGGCUUCACGCAUGCUACAAUGGCCGGUACAAUGGGUUGCGAUACUGUGAGGUGSWGCUAAUCCCAAAAAGCCGGUCUCAGUUCGGAUUGGGGUCUGCAACUCGACCCCAUGAAGUCGGAGUCGCUAGUAAUCGCAGAUCAGCAACGCUGCGGUGAAUACGUUCCCGGGCCUUGUACACACCGCCCGUCAAGUCACGAAAGUCGGUAACACCCGAAGCCGGUGGCCUAACC
RNAcentral lists this ribosomal RNA (618 nucleotides) under Micrococcus sp. Its description in RNAcentral is "bacterial SSU rRNA". Lineage: Bacteria; Bacillati; Actinomycetota; Actinomycetes; Micrococcales; Micrococcaceae. The record is from RNAcentral.